GACGAACGCUGGCGGCGUGCUUAACACAUGCAAGUCGAACGGAAAGGCCCUGCUUUUGUGGGGUGCUCGAGUGGCGAACGGGUGAGUAACACGUGAGUAACCUGCCCUUGACUCUGGGAUAACUUCAGGAAACUGGGGCUAAUACCGGAUAGGAGCUCCUGCUGCAUGGUGGGGGUUGGAAAGUUUCGGCGGUUGGGGAUGGACUCGCGGCUUAUCAGCUUGUUGGUGGGGUAGUGGCUUACCAAGGCUUUGACGGGUAGCCGGCCUAAGAGGGUGACCGGCCACAUUGGGACUGAGAUACGGCCCAGACUCCUACGGGAGGCAGCAGUGGGGAAUAUUGCACAAUGGGCGGAAGCCUGAUGCAGCAACGCCGCGUGCGGGAUGAUGGCCUUCGGGUUGUAAACCGCUUUCGCCUGUGACGAAGCGUGAGUGACGGUAAUGGGUAAAGAAGCACCGGCUAACUACGUG
RNAcentral lists this ribosomal RNA (468 nucleotides) under uncultured bacterium. RNAcentral's name for it is "partial 16S ribosomal RNA". It matches the Rfam family "Bacterial small subunit ribosomal RNA", at positions 28 to 507 of the family's 1533-position model. The record is from RNAcentral.